GCAGUAGUCAUAUGCUUGUCUCAAAGAUUAAGCCAUGCAUGUGUCAGUACAGGCCGUCCUAAGGCUAAACCGCGAAUGGCUCAUUAAACCAGUCAUAAUCCACUAGAUGGAAUCCAAUUACUCGGAUAACCCUGGUAAUUCUAGAGCUAAUACGUGCGACAUGCCCUGACCGCAAGGGAAGGGUGCUUUUAUUAGUUUAAAACCACUCGGGCUUCGGUCCGCCAAUUCACGGGUGGUGACUCUGAAUAACUUUGUGCAGAGAGCACGGUCUCCGCACCGGCUCCGUGUCUUUCGAGUUUCUGCCUUAUCAUGCUGUGGAUUGUAGGUCAUGCGCCUACAAUGGCUGUAACGGGUGACGGGGAAUCAGGGUUCGAUUCCGGAGAGGGAGCCUGAGAAACGGCUACCACAUCCAAGGAAGGCAGCAGGCACGCAAAUUACCCAAUCCCAGCUCUGGGAGGUAGUGACGAAAAAUAAUGAUGCGGGACACAUCCGUGUCUGCGUAAUCAGAAUGAGUACACAUUAAAACUUUGUGCGACAACCAAUUGGAGGGCAAGUCUGGUGCCAGCAGCCGCGGUAAUUCCAGCUCCAAUAGCGUAUAUUAAAGUUGUUGCRGUUAAAAAGCUCGUAGUCCGAGCUCAGUUCCGGACUGGCCGGGGAGGUCACCUCACGGUUCCUUUCCUGCGCCAGGCUCCGAACCUAGGCCCCCGCCUGCGCGGGGGUCGCACGCCGGUGCUCGCCGGGGUGCUCUUGACCGAGUGUCCCGCGCGGCCGGCCAGUGCACCUUGAAUAAAGGAGAGUGCUCAAAGCAGGCUACUCUACUACUGUUAAGCCCGAAUGUUACCUGCAUGGAAUGCUGGAAGAUGAUCUCGGUUCCAUUUUAGUGGCUCUGGGAAUCCGAGUUAAUGAUAAACAGGGACUGUCGGGGGCAUUCGUACUACGACGCGAGAGGUGAAAUUCAGUGACCGUCGUAGGACGAACUACAGCGAAAGCAUUUGCCAAGAAUGUCUUCGUUGAUCAAGAACGAAAGUUAGAGGAUCGAAGGCGAUCAGAUACCGCCCUAGUUCUAACCCUAAACGAUGCUGACUAGCAAUUCGCCGUCGCUAUUCCCAUGGCGUGGCGAGACGCCCCCGGGAAACCUCAAGUUUUUGAGUUCCGGGGGUAGUAUGGUUGCAAAACUGAAACUUAAAGGAAUUGACGGAAGGGCACCACCAGGAGUGGAGCCUGCGGCUUAAUUUGACUCAACACGGGGAACCUCACCAGGCCCGGACACCAGAAGGAUUGACAGACUAAGAGCUCUUUCUCGAUUUGGUGGGUGGUGGUGCAUGGCCGUUCUUAGUUGGUGGAGUGAUUUGUCUGGUUAAUUCCGGUAACGAACGAGACUCUGGCCUACUAACUAGUCGACGGGGUCUACAGCCCGUCCGCGGGCGACGGCCCCGUUCGACAAUGUCUUCUUAGAGGGAUGAGCAGCGAGUAUAGCUGCAGGAGAUUGAGCAAUAACAGGUCUGUGAUGCCCUUAGAUGUCCUGGGCCGCACGCGCGCUACACUGAAUGGGUUAGCGGGUUCUCCUUCCCCGAGAGGGGCGGGAAAUCGCGUGAAAACCAUUCGUGAUAGGGAUUGGGGCUUGCAAUUGUUUCCCAUGAACGAGGAAUUCCCAGUAAGCGCGAGUCAUCAGCUCGCGCUGAUUAAGUCCCUGCCCUUUGUACACACCGCCCGUCGCUACUACCGAUUGAAUGAAUUAGUGAGGCCUUCGGACUGGCGGUCUCGGACCGGGCUCCGCGCGGCGCAAGCCGUGGCGGGCCCUCCCUGACGAGCCGGAAAGAUGUCCAAACUUGUUCAUUUAGAGGAAGUAAAAGUCGUAACAAGGUUUCCGUAGGUGACCUGGCCG
RNAcentral lists this ribosomal RNA (1885 nucleotides) under Latreutes fucorum. Its description in RNAcentral is "SSU rRNA". It matches the Rfam family "Eukaryotic small subunit ribosomal RNA". Lineage: Eukaryota; Metazoa; Arthropoda; Malacostraca; Decapoda; Hippolytidae. The record is from RNAcentral.